Molecule: ribosomal RNA, 277 nt
Filed under: uncultured bacterium
Lineage: Bacteria
Description: partial 16S ribosomal RNA
Rfam family: Bacterial small subunit ribosomal RNA
Source: RNAcentral
GAUAAACGCUGGCGGCGUGCCUUACGCAUGCAAGUCGAACGGUGUCCUUCGGGGCACAGUGGCGGACGGGUGAGUAACACGUACGUGACCUACCGCGAAGUGGGGGAUACCCGCCCGAAAGGGCGGCUAAUACCGCAUGUGGUCCUUAGGGGUGCCUAGGGAGUAAAGGAGCAAUCCGCUUCGUGAGGGGCGUGCGGCCGAUUAGCUAGUUGGUGGGGUAACGGCCUACCAAGGCGACGAUCGGUAGCUGGGCUGAGAGGCUGAACAGCCACACUGG